UUCAAUGUGGCAGAAUAGUGCAGCAGAUUUAAGAUCUUCUUAUAAAGAUUUUCUUUCUUUAGAA
Molecule: transfer RNA, 64 nt
Filed under: Hemipeplus sp. HEM01
Lineage: Eukaryota; Metazoa; Arthropoda; Insecta; Coleoptera; Mycteridae
Description: tRNA-Leu
Source: RNAcentral